This 102-nucleotide non-coding RNA is filed under the name unclassified sequences. The record is from RNAcentral.
GAAGACAAGCGCUUUUGUUUUUUACGUUUAUCUUAAUCUAGCCAGUCCCAAUGUCGGUCCUAAGCCCGAAAUGCGUUCAUUACGUAUAAUAGAGAAGGGGGU